CAAAAAAUAGUUCAGCUAGAAUCCUAGCUUUGGGAGUUAGGGGCGGGGGUUAGAGUCCCCCUUUUUUGA
This 69-nucleotide transfer RNA is filed under the name Starksia nanodes (dwarf blenny). RNAcentral's name for it is "tRNA-Pro". It matches the Rfam family "tRNA". From Rfam's summary of the family: Transfer RNA (tRNA) molecules are approximately 80 nucleotides in length. Their secondary structure includes four short double-helical elements and three loops (D, anti-codon, and T loops). Lineage: Eukaryota; Metazoa; Chordata; Actinopteri; Blenniiformes; Labrisomidae. The record is from RNAcentral.